GACGAACGCUGGCGGCGUGCCUAAUACAUGCAAGUUGAGCGCUGAAGGUUGGUACUUGUACCAACUGGAUGAGCAGCGAACGGGUGAGUAACGCGUGGGGAAUCUGCCUUUGAGCGGGGGACAACAUUUGGAAACGAAUGCUAAUACCGCAUAAAAACUUUAAACACAAGUUUUAAGUUUGAAAGAUGCAAUUGCAUCACUCAAAGAUGAUCCCGCGUUGUAUUAGCUAGUUGGUGAGGUAAAGGCUCACCAAGGCGAUGAUACAUAGCCGACCUGAGAGGGUGAGCGGCCACAUUGGGACGGAGACACGGCCCAAACUGCUACGGGAGGCAGCAGUAGGGAAUCUUCGGCAAUGGACGAAAGUCUGACCGAGCAACGCCGCGUGAGUGAAGAAGGUUUUCGGAUCGUAAAACUCUGUUGGUAGAGAAGAACGUGGGUGAGAGUGGAAAGCUCAUCAAGUGACGGUAACUACCCAGAAAGGGACGGCUAACUACGUG
RNAcentral lists this ribosomal RNA (497 nucleotides) under uncultured bacterium. RNAcentral's name for it is "partial 16S ribosomal RNA". It matches the Rfam family "Bacterial small subunit ribosomal RNA", at positions 28 to 507 of the family's 1533-position model. The record is from RNAcentral.